CGCAGUUUGGCCCAGACGACCCUGUCAGGAAGCAGCCUCGCUUUCAGAGCCAGGUGGACCGCAGACAUGACCUGUACAAGGCCCACCAGGUGGCGCUCAACACCAUGGAGACCAACCGGACGAGGGUUUAGCCGUCUAUGAGAUUCUGAGGGACCUGGAGUCGCAGUGUCUGAGCGAGAUUUCAGCCAUGCUGAAUGGAGAGAUACCAGUAGAAGAAUUGGGGGACUUGUUUUUUGAUUCCGUGGACACAGAGAUCAAGUUCUACCAGUGAGCAGCGCCCUCAGGUGGACAUCCCUAACGCUCGCAGAGUUGCAGAAGGCCCCGGGACUGUUAAAAAA
Molecule: long non-coding RNA, 338 nt
Organism: Etheostoma spectabile (orangethroat darter)
Lineage: Eukaryota; Metazoa; Chordata; Actinopteri; Perciformes; Percidae
Exons: 3
Source: RefSeq, a predicted model, not a curated record